This 1457-nucleotide ribosomal RNA is filed under the name uncultured Bordetella sp. Its description in RNAcentral is "partial 16S-23S ribosomal RNA intergenic spacer". It matches the Rfam family "Bacterial small subunit ribosomal RNA". Lineage: Bacteria; Pseudomonadati; Pseudomonadota; Betaproteobacteria; Burkholderiales; Alcaligenaceae. The record is from RNAcentral.
GGUUCGAUUAUGGCUCAGAUUGAACGCUGGCGGAUGCUUUACAUGCAAGUCGAACGGCAGCACGGACUUCGGUCUGGUGGCGAGUGGCGAACGGGUGAGUAAUGUAUCGGAACGUGCCUGCAUAGUGGGGAUAACGCGAAAGCGAAGCAUUACCGCACGCCCUUCGGGGAAAGCGGGGGACCUUCGGGCCUCAUCGUUUAGAGCGGCCGGGAUAUCGGAUUAGCUAUAGUUGGUGGGUAACGGCUCACCGGCGACGAUCCGUAGCUGGUUUGAGAGGACGACCAGCCACACUGGGACUGGAGACACGGCCUAGACUCUACGGGAGGCAGCAGUGGGGGAAUUUUGACACUGAAAUCCCUGAUCCAGCCAUCUCCGCGUGUGCGAUGAAGGCUCUCGGGUUGUAAAGCACUUUUUGGCAGGAAAGAAACGGUGACGGGGAUAAUACCCCGCAACUGACGGUACCUGCAGAAUAAGCACCGGCUAACUACGUGCCAGCAGCCGCGGUAAUACGUAGGGUGCAAGCGUUAAUCGGAAUUACUGGGCGUAAAGCGUGCGCAGGCGGUUCGGAAAGAAAGAUGUGAAAUCCCAGAGCUUAAUCCCUUGGAACUGCAUUUAACUACCGAGCUAGAGUGUGUCAGAGGAGGUGGAAUUCCGCGUGUAGCAGUGAAAUGCGUAGAUAUGCGGAGGAACACCGAUGGCGAAGGCAGCCUGGGAUAACACUGACGCUCAUGUACGAAAGCGUGGGGAGCAGACAGAUUAGAUACCCUGGUAGUCCACGCCCUAAACGAUGUCAACUAGCUGUUGGGGCUUCGGGCCUUGGUAGCGCAGCUAACGCGUGAAGUUGACCGCCUGGGGAGUACAUCGCAAAGAUUAAACUCAAAGGAAUUGACGGGGACUCCGCACAAGCGGUGGAUGAUGUGGAUUAAUUCGAUGCAACGCGAAAAACCUUACCUACCCUUGAUAUCUGAAUCCCGAAGAGAUUUGGGAGUGCUCGCAAGAGAACCGGAACACAGGUGCUGUAUGGCUGUCGUCAGCUCGUCGUGAGAUGUUGCUGUCCCAACGAGCGCAACCCUUGUCAUUAGUUGCUACGAAAGGGCACUCUAAUGAGACUGCCGGUGACAAACCGGAGGAAGGUGGGGAUGACGUCAAGUCCUCAUGGCCCUUAUGGGUAGGGCUUCACACGUCAUACAAUGGUCGGGACAGAGGGUCGCCAACCCGCGAGGGGGAGCCAAUCCCAGAAACCCGAUCGUAGUCCGGAUCGCAGUCUGCAACUCGACUGCGUGAAGUCGGAAUCGCUAGUAAUCGCGGAUCAGCAUGUCGCGGUGAAUACGUUCCCGGGUCUUGUACACACCGCCCGUCACACCAUGGGAGUGGGUUUUACCAGAAGUAGUUAGCCUAACCGUAAGGAGGGCGAUUACCACGUAGGAUUCAUGACUGGUGAAGUCGUAACAAGGUAG